This 468-nucleotide ribosomal RNA is filed under the name uncultured bacterium. RNAcentral's name for it is "partial 16S ribosomal RNA". It matches the Rfam family "Bacterial small subunit ribosomal RNA", at positions 28 to 507 of the family's 1533-position model. The record is from RNAcentral.
GACGAACGCUGGCGGCGUGCUUAACACAUGCAAGUCGAACGGAAAGUCCCUGCUUUUGUGGGGUGCUCGAGUGGCGAACGGGUGAGUAACACGUGAGUAACCUGCCCUUGACUUUGGGGUAACUUCAGGAAACUGGGGCUAAUACCGGAUAGGAUCUCCUGCUGCAUGGUGGGGGUGGGAAAGUUUCGGCGGUUGGGGAGGGACUCGCGGCUUAUCAGCUUGUUGGUGGGGUAGUGGCUUACCAAGGCUUUGACGGGUAGCCGGCCUGAGAGGGUGACCGGCCACAUUGGGACUGCGAUACGGCCCAGACUCCUACGGGAGGCAGCAGUGGGGAAUAUUGCACAAUGGGCGGAAGCCUGAUGCAGCAACGCCGCGUGCGGGAUGACGGCCUUCGGGUUGUAAACCGCUUUCGCCUGUGACGAAGCGUGAGUGACGGUAAUGGGUAAAGAAGCACCGGCUAACUACGUG